This 24-nucleotide non-coding RNA is filed under the name Arabidopsis thaliana (thale cress). Lineage: Eukaryota; Viridiplantae; Streptophyta; Magnoliopsida; Brassicales; Brassicaceae. The record is from RNAcentral.
GAGCGCACGGAAAAGGCAAAUACC